GCGGGCGCGCCGACGCUGGAGAGUCGGGCCCGGCUGUAAACCGGGUGCUUCGCUGAGCAGGUUCGAAUCCUGCCGCCCGCAC
RNAcentral lists this transfer RNA (82 nucleotides) under Actinoplanes cyaneus. Its description in RNAcentral is "tRNA-Tyr". It matches the Rfam family "tRNA". From Rfam's summary of the family: Transfer RNA (tRNA) molecules are approximately 80 nucleotides in length. Their secondary structure includes four short double-helical elements and three loops (D, anti-codon, and T loops). Lineage: Bacteria; Bacillati; Actinomycetota; Actinomycetes; Micromonosporales; Micromonosporaceae. RNAcentral also lists the same sequence under 3 other names. The record is from RNAcentral.